This 197-nucleotide ribosomal RNA is filed under the name uncultured bacterium. RNAcentral describes it as "partial 16S ribosomal RNA". It matches the Rfam family "Bacterial small subunit ribosomal RNA", at positions 328 to 539 of the family's 1533-position model. The record is from RNAcentral.
ACGCUCGACACCUACGGAGGCAGCAGUCGGGAAUAUUGCGCAAUGGAGGGAACUCUGACGCAGCGACGCCGCGUGAAGGAAGAAGUAUCUCGGUAUGUAAACUUCUAUCAGCAGGGAAGAAAGUGACGGUACCUGACUAAGAAGCCCCGGCUAACUACGUGCCAGAAGCCGCGGUAAUCUGAGCGGGCUGGCAAGGC